GAUGAACGCUGGCGGCGUGCCUAAUACAUGCAAGUCGAGCGAACAGACGAGGAGCUUGCUCCUCUGACGUUAGCGGCGGACGGGUGAGUAACACGUGGAUAACCUACCUAUAAGACUGGGAUAACUUCGGGAAACCGGAGCUAAUACCGGAUAAUAUAUUGAACCGCAUGGUUCAAUAGUGAAAGACGGUUUUGCUGUCACUUAUAGAUGGAUCCGCGCCGCAUUAGCUAGUUGGUAAGGUAACGGCUUACCAAGGCAACGAUGCGUGGCCGACCUGAGAGGGUGAUCGGCCACACUGGAACUGAGACACGGUCCAGACUCCUACGGGAGGCAGCAGUAGGGAAUCUUCCGCAAUGGGCGAAAGCCUGACGGAGCAACGCCGCGUGAGUGAUGAAGGUCUUCGGAUCGUAAAACUCUGUUAUUAGGGAAGAACAAACGUGUAAGUAACUAUGCACGUCUUGACGGUACCUAAUCAGAAAGCCACGGCUAACUACGUG
Molecule: ribosomal RNA, 497 nt
Filed under: uncultured bacterium
Lineage: Bacteria
Description: partial 16S ribosomal RNA
Rfam family: Bacterial small subunit ribosomal RNA
Source: RNAcentral